AACAUCAUCGACACACUCACACACGCACACACGGGCACAUGGAAUGCGGAGGUGUUUGAGUAUUCUCUUCACUGUUUGCACUUCUUUCUCAUCUCAACGUGCUGUGCUUAGUUUUUAUUUUUAGUGGCUGCACUAGUAAAGAUACGAAUCUGUCGUCGGUCGCCUCCGUAUUAGCUUUUGUUUUACAACCAUGUCAAAGUUGGUUAAUUUGUUGUUUUCGCAAAGCGCUUGACAACAACAAUAAUGAUUGUUCGUGCAAUAGGAUAUUCAUCACAAUGCAGAUCCUUAACUAAGGAGAAGAAUUAUGGCCUCAACCUUUGAGGUCUUGAUUUAUUAAAGUGCCGAGCAAAACCUGACAUCGUGAAAAAUUGACAUUUAUAAGAACUGACAUAUAUGAAAAAAAUUUCGUUUGACAUCGCGGAUAAUAGAGGUAAUCACGGUUAACAGUGAUUCAACUUCAUCCCGGAUAAAAGAGUGUCCAGUUAAUGGGAGCCCGAAUAAUUGAGGUCCAACUUGCAGAUACUUCGCCUCGGCUCUCUUCAAUUCGCCCCAGCUGCAGUGCUGCCAGAAUCUUAU
This is a long non-coding RNA of Drosophila willistoni, 576 nucleotides long. RefSeq lists it as uncharacterized. The transcript is spliced from 3 exons. The record is from RefSeq and is a predicted model, not a curated record. Lineage: Eukaryota; Metazoa; Arthropoda; Insecta; Diptera; Drosophilidae.